RNAcentral lists this ribosomal RNA (289 nucleotides) under uncultured bacterium. RNAcentral describes it as "partial 16S ribosomal RNA". It matches the Rfam family "Bacterial small subunit ribosomal RNA", at positions 773 to 1060 of the family's 1533-position model. The record is from RNAcentral.
GUGGAUUAGAUACCCUGGUAGUCCACGCUGUAAACGAUGUCAACUAGCUGUUGGUUAUAUGAAUAUAAUUAGUGGCGAAGCAAACGCGAUAAGUUGACCGCCUGGGGAGUACGGUCGCAAGAUUAAAACUCAAAGGAAUUGACGGGGGCCCGCACAAGCGGUGGAGCAUGUGGUUUAAUUCGAUGCGACGCGAAGAACCUUACCUACCCUUGACAUACAGUGGAAUUUGCAGAGAUGCGGAUGUGCCUUCGGGAACACUGCUACAGGUGCUGCAUGGUUGUCGACAGCU